CUCGUAGGUGGCUGGUCGCGUCUGCCGUGAAAGCCCGCAGCUUAACUGCGGGUCUGCGGUGGAUACGGGCCGGCUAGAGGUAGGUAGGGGCAAGUGGAAUUCCUGGUGUAGCGGUGAAAUGCGCAGAUAUCAGGAGGAACACCGGUGGCGAAGGCGGCUUGCUGGGCCUUACCUGACGCUGAGGAGCGAAAGCGUGGGGAGCGAACAGGAUUAGAUACCCUGGUAGUCCACGCUGUAAACGUUGGGCGCUAGGUGUGGGGAUCUUCCACGAUCUCCGUGCCGGAGCUAACGCAUUAAGCGCCCCGCCUGGGGAGUACGGCCGCAAGGCUAAA
RNAcentral lists this ribosomal RNA (332 nucleotides) under uncultured Nonomuraea sp. RNAcentral describes it as "bacterial SSU rRNA". It matches the Rfam family "Bacterial small subunit ribosomal RNA", at positions 568 to 898 of the family's 1533-position model. Lineage: Bacteria; Bacillati; Actinomycetota; Actinomycetes; Streptosporangiales; Streptosporangiaceae. The record is from RNAcentral.